This 522-nucleotide ribosomal RNA is filed under the name uncultured bacterium. RNAcentral describes it as "partial 16S ribosomal RNA". It matches the Rfam family "Bacterial small subunit ribosomal RNA", at positions 28 to 523 of the family's 1533-position model. The record is from RNAcentral.
GACGAACGCUGGCGGCGUGCCUAAUACAUGCAAGUCGAGCGCAGGAAACUGACGGAACUCUUCGGAGGGAAGGCAGUGGAAUGAGCGGCGGACGGGUGAGUAACACGUAAGGAACCUGCCUAAAGGAUUGGGAUAACUCCGAGAAAUCGGAGCUAAUACCGGAUAGUUCAUCGGACCGCAUGGUCCGUUGAUGAAAGGCGCUUCGGCGUCACCUUGAGAUGGCCUUGCGGUGCAUUAGCUAGUUGGGGGGGUAACGGCCCACCAAGGCGACGAUGCAUAGCCGACCUGAGAGGGUGAUCGGCCACACUGGGACUGAGACACGGCAGACUCCUACGGGAGGCAGCAGUAGGGAAUCUUCCACAAUGGACGAAAGUCUGAUGGAGCAACGCCGCGUGAGUGAUGAAGGUUUUCGGAUCGUAAAACUCUUGUGUAAGGGAAGAACACGUCAGAGAGGAAAUGCUCGUACCUUGACGGUACCUUACGAGAAAGCCACGGCUAACUACGUGCCAGCCGCCGCCGUAA